RNAcentral lists this ribosomal RNA (769 nucleotides) under Pertusaria kalelae. RNAcentral's name for it is "SSU rRNA". It matches the Rfam family "Bacterial small subunit ribosomal RNA", at positions 407 to 1269 of the family's 1533-position model. The record is from RNAcentral. Lineage: Eukaryota; Fungi; Ascomycota; Lecanoromycetes; Pertusariales; Pertusariaceae.
GAGGAAUGUAUAUCGACUCUGUCGAAUAAAGUUCUAGUUAAGUUAUGAUAAUGACAUUUCUUAACUAUGUGUCUUGACCAAAUCACGUGCCAGCAGUCGCGGUAAGACGUGGAAGACUAGUGUUAUUCAUCUUUAACAGGUUUAAAGGGUACCUAGACGGUAAAUCAAGCCCCAAAAGGGUACUAAUUUACUAGAGUUUAAUAAGAGAGGGGGAGUACUGAUGAGUGGAGAGAUGAAAUUUUAUGAUACCAUUAGGAACAGACAAAGGCGAAAGCGACCUUUUACAUAAAAACUGACGUUGAGGGACGAAGGCUUUAGUCGUGAACAGGAUUAGAUACCCAAGUAAUUAAAGCAGACAAUGAUGAAUGUCAUAGAUUAGUGAGUCAUAUUAAUCUAUAAAUGAAAGUGUAAGCAUUCCACCUCAAGAGUAAUGUGGCAACGCAGAAACUGAAAUCAUUAGACCGUUUCUGAAACCAGUAGUGAAGUAUGUUGUUUAAUUAGAUAACCCGCCAAAGACCUCACCACAAUUUGAAUAUUAUUAUUUUUAAUAAUACAAGCGUUGCACGGCUGUCUUCAGUUAAUGUCGUGAGAUUAGGUUAGUUCCAUUAAAUUAACGUAAACCCUUGCUUUAUUUAUAUUAUAAAGUAGAUCACCGCUAUAUUGGAUGUGAUAAUAGGGACUAAGACAAGUCAUCAUGGCCUUAAUAUUGUGGGCGAUAGACGUGCCACAUAAUCGGAGACAAAGGGAUGCGAAAUUGUGAAAUAUAGCU